This 253-nucleotide ribosomal RNA is filed under the name uncultured bacterium. RNAcentral describes it as "partial 16S ribosomal RNA". It matches the Rfam family "Bacterial small subunit ribosomal RNA", at positions 524 to 776 of the family's 1533-position model. The record is from RNAcentral.
UACGGAGGGGGCUAGCGUUGUUCGGAAUUACUGGGCGUAAAGCGCACGUAGGCGGCUUUGUAAGUUAGAGGUGAAAGCCCGGGGCUCAACUCCGGAAUUGCCCUUAAGACUGCAUCGCUAGAAUUGUGGAGAGGUAAGUGGAAUUCCGAGUGUAGAGGUGAAAUUCGUAGAUAUUCGGAAGAACACCAGUGGCGAAGGCGACUUACUGGACACAUAUUGACGCUGAGGUGCGAAAGCGUGGGGAGCAAACAGG